Molecule: ribosomal RNA, 457 nt
Filed under: uncultured bacterium
Lineage: Bacteria
Description: bacterial SSU rRNA
Rfam family: Bacterial small subunit ribosomal RNA
Source: RNAcentral
UACGGGAGGCAGCAGGGGGAAUAUUGCACAAUGGGCGAAAGCCUGAUGCAGCUAUGCCGCGUGUAUGAAGAAGGCCUUAGGGUUGUAAAGUACUUUCAUCGGGGAGGAAAAAACAAAACUAAUAAUUUUAUUUCUUGACGUUACCCGAAAAAGAAGCACCGGCUAACUCCGUGCCAGCAGCCGCGGUAAUACGGAGGGUGCUAGCGUUAAUCAGAAUUACUGGGCGUAAAGAGCACGUAGGUGGUUUUUUUAAAGUCAGAUGUGAAAUCCCUGGGCUUUAACCUAGGAACUGCAUUUUGAAACUGAAAUACUAGAGUAUCGUAGAGGGAGGUAGAAUUCUAGGUGUAGCGGUGAAAUGCGUAGAUAUCUGGAGGAAUACCUGUGGCGAAAGCGGCCUCCUAAACGAAUACUGACACUGAGGUGCGAAAGCGUGGGGAGCAAACAGGGAUUAGAUACC